This 249-nucleotide long non-coding RNA is filed under the name Lathyrus oleraceus (garden pea). RNAcentral describes it as "Pisum sativum (pea) long non-coding RNA (PSAT_LNC007038)". Lineage: Eukaryota; Viridiplantae; Streptophyta; Magnoliopsida; Fabales; Fabaceae. The record is from RNAcentral.
UUGGAGGAUGGCACUAUGCAUUGCAUUCAUACAUCAGCAUCAUUCCCAUUUUGCAUUUAUCUGCAUCUAACUCAUGUUUAUCCAUAUGCAGGGGACAUUCUUGAUCGAGAUCCGGGUUGAGAGACUUCUUUGUUUCAGAUAUGAGGACCGACUUGAAAGAUGACGUCGUCUACAGUUUCUUUAAUCCAGAGAUUGAUGUGCUGAGAGAUAUGAUAGCAUUGAUUACACCUGACCAUGUGGGGAUGUUCC